GACGAACGCUGGCGGCGUGCUUAACACAUGCAAGUCGAACGGAAAGGCCCUGCUUUUGUGGGGUGCUCGAGCGGCGAACGGGUGAGUAACACGUGAGUAACCUGCCCUUGACUUUGGGAUAACUUCAGGAAACUGGGGCUAAUACCGGAUAGGAGCUCCUGCUGCAUGGUGGGGGUUGGAAAGUUUCGGCGGUUGGGGAUGGACUCGCGGCUUAUCAGCUUGUUGGUGGGGUAGUGGCUUACCAAGGCUUUGACGGGUAGCCGGCCUGAGAGGGUGACCGGCCACGUUGGAACUGGGAUACGGCACGGACUCCUACGGGAGGCAGCAGUGGGGAAUAUUGCAUAAGGGGCGGAAGCCUGAUGCAGCAACGCCGCGUGCGGGAUGACGGCCUUCGGGUUGUAAACCGCUUUCGCCUGUGACGAAGCGUGAGUGACGGUAAUGGGUAAAGAAGCACCGGCUAACUACGUG
Molecule: ribosomal RNA, 468 nt
Filed under: uncultured bacterium
Lineage: Bacteria
Description: partial 16S ribosomal RNA
Rfam family: Bacterial small subunit ribosomal RNA
Source: RNAcentral